UAACAGAAAACAAAUCAGGAUCUGAAUUAAAAUAAAAUAAAAAUGUGAUUUCUUCUUUAAUUACAACACUAAAAUAGAUUAAUUGCCAGCAAACAAAAAAGUUGCGUGGUGGAAGAGAAAGUCGAAAUUUGAAAUUAAAUAAAUAAAAAGUAGAUCACAGAUAAUUAAGGCCAGCUGACGAACAAAGACAACCUUUGCUUUUAGUAACAACAUAUUUAAAAAUUAAAAAAAAAGUACAAAUAAAAAAUAAAACCCCGGGAACGAAGCUUUUGGGUAAAAAGCCGGCCGGAGUUCCAUGUCCGGCACGUGCAUGCAUGAACUUACGACAGUCAGAAGAAGAACCAACCUGCAAGCAAAAACCACAUACGACGUCGUACAGCACAUACACAACUACAUAGGUGCCUCGUUCAAGUCUAAAACCCCAUUAAUCUCCUCCUCAUCAGCUUCAUUAAUAUUAAUCUCUUCAUCAUCUUCCACCACCUGGACAUGAUCUGCCGCCGCCGCUUCCACAACAAACUGCUCCGUCGACUCCAACGCAGCUCUGCAAUUACCAUUUUGUCCCUUGACAGCAACCCGCCAGCUUUCUCAAAGUACUUGAUCGCCGCCUGCAUCCUCCUCACUAUUGCAAAAAACUCCUCCACCUCCUCAUCCUCCGUGGCCACGUCACCGGCAACCCCCUUCUCCUCCUCCCGCUGCUGCUGCUGCUUUUGAUGCACCUUCUUCGCUCUCCUCCCAUGACACUUGUCAAUUUCUUCAUCUUUCUCUACCCUUUUUCUUCUCUCCAUUUUUUCACUCAUUCCCACUAAUUAUAAUUACCAGCUAAUCACAAUCUAUGAACUCCUUAAACCACUUUCUAUGUGAUUUGCGUGUUUAUCAAUGUAGCUUUCUUUGGAGCAAUUUAAUGGAACGGCCGAGGUAGCUGUUGUCUCUCAAGAUUCUUUAUUUGGUGGUUGGGUGAUCACUGCUCAGGAUCGUGACUUUUCUGUCAAUCUUAUGUUAUUUUAUUGUACUUCGAUUAUUUUCAACCGUUGGAUGAGCAUAGGUCCUUGAUGUCAUUCCAUUACGUACUGCUGACCGACGCACCAAUUGUUUUACCAUUACGACCGCAUCUAUCCUACGCGCGCAUCACGAUUCACAAUUCAUUGUUUAGCGGUGUUUAUCUCUCUUUCAAGGCAUGUUUUGUGAGUAAUACAUACUCGUAUGACCGUUGGACUUUAUUAAAUAAAAUUAUAUGAACGUUGAAUAAAGAUUGGGUUCAAUAAAAUUAGGGAAGUAUUAUGGAGAUUCUCAACAAUGAUUCUUUAAAGAUUUUUCAUCAUAUUAUUAUUGUGGCAUAAUUUUCAUGUCAACAUUAUAAAAUAAUGUGUAAACAAAAUAAGGUGACUGAGAGUCUCACUUUAAGAGAGCAUUCUUAGCAUUCCUCAUAAACUUAAUUGGUGAAGGAAAGAGUAGUCCAACUCUUAUAAAAUUCACGUAAGGUUCCUAACUUCCUGGUUCGAGGCGCAAUUUCACAUUCUCAUAAAUAGCUACAAUCAACGUUGUUGACUCAGUGUGUAAUUAUCUUAGAUUCCCUUAUAUGGUUUGUUCACAAUUUACCAGAAAAUAACUACUAGAACUAUUCUAAUUUCUAACUCAUCUACCUUUACUCACAUGUAUGUAUGUAGGCACACGAAUAUCGAAAGUACUAACUAGUGAGCGGUUUAUGUAUUUAUUUUUCGAUUUGGCCAAAUAAAAAAUUAUCACAUUUUUUUUUAAGUCCAAAAAAAAAAUUAAAUAACAUGUUUAUUAUUUCUUAAAACAAUAAAAUAUGUGUUAUAAUAGCAUGAACAAAAUUAAAAAAAAUUAAUAAUUCCUAGUUAAUAUCUAAGUAUUAUCCAACGAAUGUAUAACUCAUCUUGUUUGCAAUACUAUUUGAAAAAUUAUAAGCAACGUAUGUGGUCCGACAACAACGAGGAAAUUAAAUCUUCUGCACUUAUUAUCACAAAAUUAAUAUGUAUAAAAUAAUAAUUGAAGCUACAGAAAGACAAGACUAAUUAUUAGUGAAGAAGAUUUGAUAUCGACAUCGUGCGAGGAAUGAGACGCGUGGAGAGGGUUGGGAUGGUGGACGGACAAAGCAAACUUAUGUGGUCUCCUUCCUGGAUGGUUCAAGUAGACUAAAACAUGACCCACAACAUUUUUCUAGUGUUGCUUUGGUUGUUUGCUUCGUUGUAAGCUUUCGGUUUUCUCUGGCAUCUUUGCCGUGAAUGAAUUUUCCAGAUUUCCCAAAAAACAAAAAAAAACAUGACCCACAACUUGUAAGUCAACAUUUUAAUCAAUGAAAAUGUAUUUGGCAUUUUGGCGUCGCUAUGGUACUCCAACGACCAAAUUAAUAUCGUGCACCCGCACAAGUUCAUGCCGCGUGAUUGAGUUUUGAUUGAUUGAUGGAAACUCAAAACCAACCAACCAAACCCCUCUUUUCUCUUCGCUUUAGAAUCAAGCGGAUAGUGCUUUGUGGGGUCCCAUUGUUGUUGAUCAUGGUGGGGUGGUUAUGUGAUUAAUUAAUCUAAUCAUUCACAUUGAUCAACAAAUAUAUAAUCAUUCAUAGUUGAAUCGAGAAAAAUAGAAUUUAAAUUUCAAGACGUGGUAGGUGAGUUUUUCUUUAAUAAUUUUCUUUUGAAAGUUACGAGUUGGUGACUUUGUCACCACAAUUUAAUCUUUUAGAAACCGUCACCACAAUUCAUUCUUUUGUAAACUGAAAAGACUCGUAAAGGUAUUUUAGCUUUAUUCUGACUACUAUCAUGUGAUUUCAAGACGUGGUAGGUGAGUUCUUCUUUAAUAAUUUUCUUUUGAAAGUUACGGGUUGGUGACUUUGUCACCACAAUCCACUCUUUUGGGAACUGGAAAGACUCACAGAGACAUUUCAGCUUUACUCUGACCACUAUCGUGUGAUUCACCAGUACUAGAAAUCGAAUCCAAAAUGUGCAAUGUGAAAUAAGGGUCUAAAAUUAAUUUCCAACUACUAAAUGAUUUCGCGGUGAUUUUUGCAAUGAUGACCUCUCCUAAGUAAAUUCCAUUUUUGUAAAAUAUACCUAAUUUUGUCUUCAAAAAAAUAUUUUUAUCUCAAGUAAACACAUUACUCUAUUUUAUAGACAAAAAGUAUUAGAAUACAUCGGAGUUUGAAUAUAUUGACACAUGCCCUAAAGCCCAUUGAAAUAAGAUGGCACAAUGAAAUUAAAAAUUAAUCAUAAUAUAGAUACAAAACCUCUUUCCUACACAUAAUGGUGCUAUCACAUAUAAAUUUAGGAUGAAAUUAUAACAGUCUCACGGUGAGGUUUCAUAACACUGUCAUUUUUGGCGUUUUAAAUCUUCAUAUCUAGACAUUUGUUUUAUUUUUAGAAAUGUUAAGGAGAUUUUCUCAAAGCAUAACUUUUUAAAAUUUAUAAUUUAACGUCAAUUCUUAUCCAAUUAUAAAAUAUUUGAUACAUAUAAUUAUAAAAUAUUAUAUAAAAAAACAUGAUUUGAUAGAAAAUCCAUAAAAUUUCACUUUUAAAAAUAUUGUUAGCAUUUAUCUUAUAACUUUAUUGAAUGACAACAGAUGCUUAGGACAACGAAGUGUUAGGUGUCAAUAUUCUCGAUUUAUGUGAGUCCACUGAUGCCCGUAAGCAGUUCGAUUGAAUUAUUUAACGUAGCGGACUAGCGGGGCCAUUGAGAAAAGAUUGCCAUUACUAGAUCUUCGACACCUUCCUCCUACUAUGAUACCAGUUGCCAUAAAGCAACUUGUUCGAUUCAGGUCUAUCCUAGUAGCCCCUUGAAUGUUUGCUUCAUGAGAAUAAUUUAUAUUUCAGGGUAUAUUAUUAUUGGAACAUGUUAAUGAUACAAUAUUAUUUAUUGAAGAAAAAUUUAUGCAUAUCGUUGUAUCAAUUAUAUGAGAUACUACAAUUAUAAUGUACACGUGUUAUAUAAAAUAUUAUCCAUCAAGAAAGAGGCGGAACAUACCGCACUAAAAAACAAUAGUAGAGAGGACACCACUUUAUUUACCUCCUCUUUUCUUCUCCCUUGGGGCCAUGAAUAUAAAGAAAUUAGUGACAUGGAAGAUAGAUUGCUGGUGGUGACGUCAAAUCAUCAGCAGUAUUGAAAUAUGCAUGUAUAAUAUCAUAUUAAUUUCAAAACUUGUGUUAUUCACACGCCACAAAUUGAGAAAACUUUUAUUGUGACAGGAACAUGGGUGGUAUAAUAUGUGCUUUUACGUAAGUGAUGAGAAUUUUUAUUUUUUAAGUUAUUAACUUUUUAACAUAUAUAUUUCAUUAUUUGUAUAAUGACAUAUAAUGUAUCAUCCUGUGUACCGAUCACAUUGAAAAUCUCUCCGCAAAUUGUUGAAAAAACCUCACUUUGAAAAAUUUGUCUCAACAAUUUUAGCUUUACCAUUCCUUUUCUUUAAUCCACCCAACCUGCCAAAAACAAAAAAAACUCUAGAGCCUUCGACUCCAUCAUCACACUGUUAUCGGUGACCGAUUGUAAGAUCCGCAGCUUUUCCUUAAUGAGCUUAUGUCGAAACAAGUUUUACAAGUUGUUGGGAGAUGGUGCGAAAGUGCACGAGAAGAGCUUUAGGGUUCUUGUGAACAGUUUCUAUGAGUGCCUCAAAUGGAUUGAAUUGAAGAAACGUAAUUAUAGCAAAGAAGAUGGACAACGAAAAAGCAAAAAGCGAUUGCCUGAGUAAUCUAUAUUAUUAUUAAGAGAACCUUCCUUAUCAACUUUUGUUAUUUUUUUUUUAUUUUGCCCUCAUUUUUUAUACAUAAUACUUACCUAAGGAUGACAAAAUAGUAAUUUUGUAUCUUUUGAGAAAAUGACAAUCAUACCUCUAUUUUUCCUAUUUUACCCUCACUUUUGAUACACAAUAUUUACAUAAAGAACAGUAAUUAUGCAAUAUUAAGAUAAAAUAUGUAUUCAUUAAGAGAAAUUGUCUCACCAUCAUUAUUUCAUACUCUUUUUAAAAUUUUAAAAACUAAUCACACUCCUUAAUAAAAAAACAAAAAACAAAAUGAAAUUGUUCACACACGAGCAUGUGCUCAUCUGCUAGUUAGGAAUAAUGUGAUGAGUAGCACACAAUUUCAAUUCAUAUACUUGAAAACAACAAUAUAUGCACGAGAAUAAGGCUCCUUCAAUUAUAAUAUCAAGGAAGCGCUCUUGUCUUUGGUUGAUCAGAAAGAAAACCACCGGCGACGGUUGGGUGGGUGGUUGUGGGAAUUUUUUGGUUUUGAGAGGUGAAGUGUAUUCAACAAAAGAAUUGAUAAAACUAAAAUUGUUGACAUAAAUUUUAAUUGUGAAGUGUUUUCAACAAUUUGCAAAAAAUAACCCUAAUUUGAAUAAUAAUAGAUACAAAGUUUCAUUACUAGACAUAAUCAACCAAAGUCUAUUGACUAUAAAUAACUAAAAUAACUUAAAAAACGACUCAGUCAAAUGAAUCUUUUACUGUUCUUGUGCUUCUUUGUUUAAAAAGACGAAUCUCUUAAAUAAAUAAUAAAGAAAAUUACAAAUUUGUAGAGAGAAGUGGGUGGAUACAAAGCCUCCUCUUCUUUUUAAUUAAAUUAUUAUUCGUCCUUGUUGAAAAAAAUAAUAUUGUCAUUCAUCAUAUAGAAAGUUGAAUUUUUGGGCAGUUUCAAACAGUUGAAUCAAAACGUGAUGGUGAAUGCCAAAUUUGAUUGAGACGUUUAUAAAUGAUGUUCAAAUCUGCUUCUUAAUUAAUUUAGUCUUUGCCUAACUUGCCAUAUUUUCUCGAAAGGUAGACUAUUGACCAAAGAACUUUUUCUGCCGGUGUCUUUGAAGUUAAUUUGUUGCACCGACAACUCACGAAACCAAAACUCUCAGCCUUAAUUAAUUAACAAUCCUAGCUAAAGUAAAAAUAAUAGAUAAGACUAAUACAUAAAGAUACCAAAGAAAGCAACGAAGAGGUUGCGGGUCUGCGGUACCUGUUUUAGUGUCUCGUUUAUGUGUUCUUAGUUGGUUGACAUGUGUCCAUUUAGUUAACUUAAAAAUUAACGCAGUUAACUUUCGAUCUAUUAAAAUACAAAACUUAAAAUAAAAUAAAAGAUAAAAAUAUACAAGCGUUAACUCCUCCCGUCUGUGCACUACCCCAUAUUGUUAAUGGCUAAAUAGUCAAAAUGGUCAAUGAGAUUUGGAUAACUCAUCACUUUGGUCUCUGAGAUUCUAAAUCAAUAAAAGUGGUCUCUGAGAUUGUCCACCAUCAAUCAUUUUGGUCAUUCCGUUAAAAACUCUGUUAAAUGUCCCGGAACUCUUGGCCGGAAGUUUGGGCAAUUUUCAAAACUUCAUAACUCAUCGUUUCUUAACCAAAUUCGACCAAUAAUAUAUCAAAAUGAAAAUAGGAAAGUGUAGAAUACGAUUAUACCUAUUUUGGAAGCCCAAUGGUUGCCGGAGAUGGCCUGAAAAUAACCUCAAAGUUGACCGGUCCGAGCGAAAACUGGAAAACUCGCCGGAAACUAGGUAAACUUUAAAUGUUCAUAACUUCUUCAAUACUCAACGAAAUCAAGUGAUUUAAAAAUGAAAAUCAUACUUCUCGAUGAGACAAAGAGAAUAGUACCUUUUUUAUGGCUAGAUUGCAUUGGUUUGGCCGGAAAACGGCUCAAAAGUGGCUAACUCUAGACCAAGACAGCCAAUUUCGAGUCCUUUUUCGGCCAAAACAAGGUGAUUUAGCUGUAAAAAAAAAGGUACCAUUCUCUUCGUCUCGUUGAGAAGUAUGAUUUUCAUUUUUGAAUCACUUAAUUUCGUUGAGUAUUGAAGAAGUUAUGAAUGUUUAAAGUUUAUCCAGUUUCUGGCAAGUUUUCCAGUUUUCCCUUAGACCAGUCAACUUUAAGGCUAUUUUCCGGCCAUCUCCAGCAACCAUUGGGCUUCUAAAUAGACAUAAUCUUAUUCUACACUUUCCUAUCUUCAUUUUGAUAUUUUAUGGGUCGAAUUUGAUUAAGAAACGAUUGAGUUAUGAAGCUUUGAAAAUUGCCCAAACUUCCGGCCAAGAGUCCCAGGACACUUAACGGAGUUUUUAAUGGAAUGACCAAAAUGAUGGAUGGUGGACAAUCUCAGGGACCACUUUUAUUGAUUUGGAAUCUUAGGGACCAAAGUAAUGAGUUAUGCAAAUCUCAAGGACCAUUUUGGCUAUUUAGCCUUAAUUUUCAAUCUAAAUGAGACAUAAACGAGACAUCAAAAUCAGGACAACAAACCCGCAACCAGCAAGGAGGGAUGAGGAUCCUCACAUUAUAAUCGUUCAUCGUAUAUUGUACGGUCAGUGUUCGUCAUAUAUUGUUUGUAUUUAAUUUUAACUAAAAAAUUCAAAAUGAUUUCUAGUACGAUGUACAAUGAACGGAUAGAAUGUGAGGAUCCUAAAAAGGAUCCGGAUGGGAUCCAACGAGGAGCAAGGAACAUGCACGUAAUUGCAUGGAAAUGCAUAUAUAUUGCAAUAUUACGUUUCUUAGUGAUGAUGAGUUGACAUCACUCUAAAA
This 7487-nucleotide long non-coding RNA is filed under the name Malus domestica (apple). RNAcentral describes it as "long non-coding RNA (MDOM_LNC014375)". The record is from RNAcentral. Lineage: Eukaryota; Viridiplantae; Streptophyta; Magnoliopsida; Rosales; Rosaceae.